GAUGAAGAACGCAGCGAAAUGCGAUAAGUAGUGUGAAUUGCAGAAUUCAGUGAAUCAUCGAAUCUUUGAACGCACAUUGCGCCCUUUGGUAUUCCUUAGGGCAUGCCUGUUCGAGCGUCAUUUAAACCUUCAAGCUCAGCUUGGUGUUGGGUGACUGUCCGCUUCACCGCGGACUCGCCUCAAAAUUAUUGGCGGCCGGUACAUUGGCUUCGAGCGCAGCAGAAACGCGAACUCGGGCCCGUCGUAUUGGUUCCCAGAAGCUAUCUUCACAAUUUUGACCUCGGAUCAGGUAGGGAUACCCGCUGAACUUAAGCAUAUCAAUAAGCGGAGGA
Molecule: unclassified non-coding RNA, 332 nt
Filed under: soil metagenome
Description: partial contains 5.8S ribosomal RNA, internal transcribed spacer 2, and large subunit ribosomal RNA
Rfam family: 5.8S ribosomal RNA (bases 1-120)
Source: RNAcentral